Molecule: long non-coding RNA, 681 nt
Organism: Eptesicus fuscus (big brown bat)
Lineage: Eukaryota; Metazoa; Chordata; Mammalia; Chiroptera; Vespertilionidae
Exons: 2
Source: RefSeq, a predicted model, not a curated record
GCCGGCCGCGGAACGAGGCCGGGAGGCGCGGGAGAGGACGGACCGCAGCCCGCAGGAGCGGCCGGUCAGGUUCCCAGGAACCCCACCCCCCGCAGCCGGCCAGCGCCCACCCCACACCCACCAAGCGCGAGGCCCCUGCCCUGAGGAACCCGCUUUUCAGACCCUGAGCUGUCCUGGUUUUCUCACGUGAAGGAGCAGCACUUUUCUGAAGUAGUGAAAUCCACCAGCCUUCGGGAGGGGCCGAGCCCUGAAACACUGUUACCCAGAACAGGAGUGAAAAGAUUAGCUGGGCAAUGACACUGAAAAGGGCAAAUGAUGCUUUUUCAACAUAGCAUGUUCCGUGACGCUGCCGCAAGUGGCACCAACAAACACGAUCCGGCUGGACUCAUUGCUGGCCGAGGGCGCAGGAGGCCGAGGCAUGUCCUGCCAGGCACCGGUGCCCUGGCUGUGCUGUCUGCCCCCUCCGCAUGGCGCUGAUAUCACCGUUCACCACUACUUCGUGCCCAGCGUGCGGGCGCGGUGCUCACGCCCGAUAAGCCCUGGCCCCGCAGGCUGCCUGCUCUACCACUUCUCUGGGGUAGUCACCCUCCCCAUCUUCCUUCUCCUUAGUAUUUCUUGGCAGUUCUCUGGUUUUGUUUUAUUUCUUCCAUACUCUACACAUAAACACUUUGAAAAGCAUGA